UUGAACGCUGGCGGCAGGCUUAACACCUGCAAGUCGAGCGGUAGCACAGGGGAGCUUGCUCCCUGGGUGACGAGCAGCGGACGGGUGAGUAAUGUCUGGGAAACUGCCUGAUGGAGGGGGAUAACUACUGGAAACGGUAGCUAAUACCGCAUAACGUCGCAAGACCAAAGAGGGGGACCUUCGGGCCUCUUGCCAUCAGAUGUGCCCAGAUGGGAUUAGCUAGUAGGUGGGGUAAUGGCUCACCUAGGCGACGAUCCCUAGCUGGUCUGAGAGGAUGACCAGCCACACUGGAACUGAGACACGGUCCAGACUCCUACGGGAGGCGGCAGUGGGGAAUAUUGCACAAUGGGCGCAAGCCUGAUGCAGCCAUGCCGCGUGUGUGAAGAAGGCCUUCGGGUUGUAAAGCACUUUCAGCGAGGAGGAAGGUGGUGAGCUUAAUACGUUCAUCAAUUGACGUUACUCGCAGAAGAAGCACCGGCUAACUCCGUG
This 489-nucleotide ribosomal RNA is filed under the name uncultured bacterium. RNAcentral's name for it is "partial 16S ribosomal RNA". It matches the Rfam family "Bacterial small subunit ribosomal RNA", at positions 30 to 507 of the family's 1533-position model. The record is from RNAcentral.